RNAcentral lists this long non-coding RNA (571 nucleotides) under Pan troglodytes (chimpanzee). RNAcentral's name for it is "long non-coding RNA NONPTRT017862". The record is from RNAcentral. Lineage: Eukaryota; Metazoa; Chordata; Mammalia; Primates; Hominidae.
GAGCUGGCGGGAGGCAGCGGCCCCAAAGUCAGGACCGAGGAGAGCCGGGCUGACUGCCAAGGAGGGCCGGGCUGGCUGCCAAGGUCAACCAGGUGGAGGCCUUCGGGAUUCGGCAAGAGCAGUUCUGUGAGCUGGCGGAGCCUGGCGUCUGCCUGCGUGACGUGGAGGAACCGCAGGCGGCGACCGCGGACAGAAUGUCCUCGUGAGUCCUCAUACAACCUAUCCUUAGGCGGUAACAGGCUGCAGCUGUUGAAGUCUAAUUUCACUCUAUUGAUUGCCAUGUAAGACAUGCCUGUGCCUGCUUCCCCUUCGCCUUCUGCCAUGACUGAAAGUUUCCUAAGGCCUCCUCAGAAGCCGAGCAGAUGCCAGCAUCACGCUUCCUCUAAAGCCUGUGGAACCAUGAGCCAAGUAAACCUCUUCUCUUUAUAAAUUACCCAGUUUCCGGUAUUUCUUUAUAGCAAUGUGAGAAUAGACUAAUACAAAGUGUUUGGCCAUCUUGAAUUGAUUUUUGUAUAAUGUGAGAGAUGAGGAUCCAGUUUCAUUCUUCUACAUGUGGCUUGCCAGUUUUCCC